Molecule: ribosomal RNA, 800 nt
Filed under: uncultured bacterium
Lineage: Bacteria
Description: bacterial SSU rRNA
Rfam family: Bacterial small subunit ribosomal RNA
Source: RNAcentral
AGAGUUUGAUCCUGGCUCAGAAUCAACGCUGGCGGCGUGCCUCAGACAUGCAAGUCGAACGAUUAAAGCUCUCUUCGGAGAGUGUAUAGAGUGGCGCACGGGUGAGUAACACGUAAGUAAUCUACCUUUGAGUGGGGAAUAACGUCCGGAAACGGACGCUAAUACCGCAUAAUGCAGCGGCAUCGCAAGAUGACAGUUGUUAAAGAUUUAUCGCUUGAAGAGGAGCUUGCGGCAGAUUAGCUAGUUGGUAAGGUAAUGGCUUACCAAGGCUACGAUCUGUAACCGGUCUAAGAGGACGGUCGGUCACACUGACACUGAAUAACGGGUCAGACUCCUACGGGAGGCAGCAGUCGGGAAUUUUGGGCAAUGGGCGAAAGCCUGACCCAGCAACGCCGCGUGAAGGAUGAAGUAUUUCGGUAUGUAAACUUCGAAAGAAUGGGAAGAAUAAAUGACGGUACCAUUUAUAAGGUCCGGCUAACUACGUGCCAGCAGCCGCGGUAAUACGUAGGGACCAAGCGUUGUUCGGAUUUACUGGGCGUAAAGGGCGCGUAGGCGGCCCUACAAGUCACUUGUGAAAUCUCCGGGCUUAACUCGGAAUGGCCAAGUGAGACUGUAAGGCUAGAGUGCAGAAGGGGCAAUCGGAAUUCUUGGUGUAGCGGUGAAAUGCGUAGAUAUCAAGAGGAACACCUGAGGUGAAGACGGGUUGCUGGGCUGACACUGACGCUGAGGCGCGAAAGCCAGGGGAGCAAACGGAUUAGAUACCCCGGUAGUCCUGGCCCUAAACGAUGAAUACUUGGUGU